UACACGUGAUGUGAAUCAUCGAAUCUUUGAACGCAUCUUGCACUUUUUAGGUCUCCUAGAAAGUAUACUUGUUUGAGUAUCAUUAACAUUAACUCCAAGCUUCCGCUUGGGAAUUGAGACUUUAAGCCGCGCAGGCAGCCUAUGUCUUUGAAGUGAUAUGUAGAGUGUUGUGCUAGUCACAAGCCUCCUCCCAUACCAAAUGUGAGAUAAAUAUCGCACAGAGUAGUUGAGAAGGUCAAGCCCCGCUACGCCCAGAAGUGUGUGCUUCUUGUCACACUUCAACCCCACUUUGAAUCAGUGAUCUCAAAUCAAGUAAGACUACCCGCUGAACUUAAGCAUAUCAAUAAGCGGAGG
RNAcentral lists this ribosomal RNA (354 nucleotides) under uncultured Basidiomycota. Its description in RNAcentral is "eukaryotic LSU rRNA". The stretch from base 299 to 354 matches the Rfam family "Eukaryotic large subunit ribosomal RNA", at positions 1 to 56 of the family's 3401-position model. Lineage: Eukaryota; Fungi; Basidiomycota. The record is from RNAcentral.